RNAcentral lists this ribosomal RNA (440 nucleotides) under uncultured bacterium. RNAcentral describes it as "partial 16S ribosomal RNA". It matches the Rfam family "Bacterial small subunit ribosomal RNA", at positions 338 to 795 of the family's 1533-position model. The record is from RNAcentral.
CCUACGGGUGGCAGCAGUGGGGAAUAUUGCACAAUGGGGGAAACCCUGAUGCAGCAACGCCGCGUGAGUGAAGAAGUAUUUCGGUAUGUAAAGCUCUAUCAGCAGGGAAGAAGAUUACGGUACCUGAUUAAGAAGCCCCGGCUAACUACGUGACAGCAGCCGCGGUAAGACGUCGGGGGCAAGCGUGAUCCGGAUUUACUGGGUGUAAAGGGAGGGCAGACGGCAGUGCAAGUCUGGAGUGAAAGCCCGGGGCGCAACCCCGGAACUGCUCUGGAAACUGGGCGGCUAGAGUGCGGGCGGGGCAGGCGGAAUUCGUAGUGUAGCGGUGAAAUGCGUAGAUAUUAGGAGGAACACCAGUGGCGAAGGCGGCCUGCUGGACAGUAACUGACGUUGAGGCUCGAAAGCGUGGGGAGCAAACAGGAUUAGAUACCCUUGUAGUC